ACAGGGAUUGCCUCAGUAACGGCGAGUGAAGCGGCAACAGCCCAGAUUUGAAAUCUGGCCCUUCUCGGGUCCGAGUUGUAAUCUGCAGAUGAGUCUUCGGGCAACGUGCCGUCCAAGUUCCCUGGAAUGGGACGCCACAGAGGGUGAGAGCCCCGUACCGACGUGCGCCGCGCCUGUUUGAAGCUCAUUCGACGAGUCGAGUAGUUUGGAAAUGCUGCUCUAAUCGUGGGGUAAAUCUCCCAUAAGGCUAAAUACCGGCCAGAGACCGAUAGCGCACAAGUAGCGUGAGCGAAAGAUGAAAAGAGCCUUGAAUAAGGGCGUCAAAAAGUAUGUGAAAUUGUUAUGGGGGAAGCGCUUGGUGCCAGACUUGGCGGCGGUUGGUUACCCGGCGUUCCUCGCCGGCGCACUCUUCCGUCUCCAGGCCAGCAUCGGUUCGGCUCGGGGCUCACCGCAGCAGGGAACGUGGCCCCUCGGGGUGUUAUAGCCUUGCUGCUACGUCCCGGACCGGACCGUGGUUCGCGCAUCUGCUCGGAUGCUGGCGUAAUGGCCCUCAGCGACCCGUCUUGAAACACGGACCAAGGAGUUGACCUAUCACGCGAGUGUUUGGGUGCAAAGCCCUCACGCGCAGUGAAAGCGAACGCAGGUGGGAGCCCUCUGGGCGCACCAUCGACCGAUCCUGAAGUUUACGGAUGGAUUUGAGUAGGAGCGUGUUGGGUCUGACCCGAAAGAAGGUGAACUAUGCAUGAAUAGGGUGAAGCCAGAGGAAACUCUGGUGGAGGCUCGCAGCGGUUCUGACGUGCAAAUCGAUCGUCAAAUUUGUGCAUGGGGGCGAAAGACCAAUCGA
This 844-nucleotide ribosomal RNA is filed under the name Saprodesmium dematiosporum. RNAcentral's name for it is "partial large subunit ribosomal RNA". It matches the Rfam family "Eukaryotic large subunit ribosomal RNA", at positions 68 to 938 of the family's 3401-position model. Lineage: Eukaryota; Fungi; Ascomycota; Sordariomycetes; Pleurotheciales; Pleurotheciaceae. The record is from RNAcentral.